RNAcentral lists this transfer RNA (88 nucleotides) under Burkholderiales bacterium. Its description in RNAcentral is "tRNA-Leu". It matches the Rfam family "tRNA". From Rfam's summary of the family: Transfer RNA (tRNA) molecules are approximately 80 nucleotides in length. Their secondary structure includes four short double-helical elements and three loops (D, anti-codon, and T loops). The record is from RNAcentral. Lineage: Bacteria; Pseudomonadati; Pseudomonadota; Betaproteobacteria; Burkholderiales. RNAcentral also lists the same sequence under 3 other names.
GCCGGAGUGGCGAAAUUGGUAGACGCAGCAGAUUCAAAAUCUGCCGGUGCAAAACACCGUGCCGGUUCGAUUCCGGCCUCCGGCACCA